Molecule: long non-coding RNA, 327 nt
Organism: Brassica napus (rape)
Lineage: Eukaryota; Viridiplantae; Streptophyta; Magnoliopsida; Brassicales; Brassicaceae
Exons: 3
Source: RefSeq, a predicted model, not a curated record
UAGAUGCGCGGAGAAGAAAAACUCACCGUGUACGGAGCAGAAACCCGAGAAGAAGAUUCGGAUCUCUCCAUCGAGGCGUUGAGAAAAGCGAUCAUACGAGAAGAAGGUUGAAGAAAAACGAUAGUGGAGAGCUUUUCAGGUUGAAGAAAAAAAGAUAGUGGCGAGCUUUUCUGAUAAAAUAGUGGUCAGAGUCUUUUGAAAAACGCUUAUCAUGCGAUGCCAAUGUAACAGGAAACGCCUCGUGCUGGGACCCAAAAAUAUCAAUAUUCUGAACAACCGUUUAUUGAGCAACUCGAUUAUAAUUUUUAUGUGAUUAAUUUACUUUAA